This 183-nucleotide unclassified non-coding RNA is filed under the name plant metagenome. RNAcentral describes it as "partial contains small subunit ribosomal RNA and internal transcribed spacer 1". The record is from RNAcentral.
AAUCGUAACAGGGUUUCCGUAGUAACUGCGAAGGAUCAUUAUCGUAGGGCUUCGGCCCUGUCGAGAUAGAACCCUUGCCUUUAUGAGUACCGUCCGUUUCCUCGGCAGGCCCGCCUGCCGAUGGACCCAAAACCAAACCCUUUUAUUACCUGUAUCAGUCUGAAAAAUAAACAAAAAUUAAAA